UUUUAAAACAACACGGGGGUGGAACAGGAAGUCAUGGGAAGUAUAUCCUGACUCAUUCCAUAUUCUUGCUCAAAAGAAAGUUAGUAUAUCACAACAUGUUUUCUAUGAUACCAAAUUGUAGCUCAAUAAAAAUUCACUGAGAACUCAAAAAUUAAUUAAAGAAUCAUCUCGAAAAAAUAUACAGAUCUUAAGAAUAAUUUAACUAACAAGUAUGUGAUUUUUUUAAGCAAUAAUUUUCUAUAGUUUCUGAGAUACGUCGCGACAUGUGGAAACCCCUUCAUUUUUCAUAAACUCAAUAACUCUAAAACAUAAAAUUUGAAUCAUCCUCAAAAAGUAUACAGAUCUUCAGAUUCAUAUAACUAAGAAGUGUGUAAAGCGUUUAGCAAUAAUCAUAAAUCGUUUUUGAGAUACAGCGCGGACUGUGAAAAAACACCCCUGUUUUGGUUACUCAAAAAGUUCACCAAAAAGAAUACAAAUCGUUUGACCAUUAUGAAAAAAAACCAACCAUGACAUUAGGAUAAUAUGCUGUACCAUGUUUACGACGGACAGACGGAAGCCGGACAUUUGUUUACCAUAAUACGUCCCGUCAAAAUUUUUGCAUGAAAUAUUUACCACUGGACGUAAAAAAGCAACCAACAAUUAAUCAAUUUAUAGGCAUAGUCUUGGUAUUAAGCGCCUUCCUCAUAUCAAAAAUGAUAAUUGACAUGCAUUAUAUUAGUAACACCAAAAGAUCUUGAAAUUGCUAACUAUACGAUAUUUUGUUGAAGA
RNAcentral lists this long non-coding RNA (768 nucleotides) under Mytilus galloprovincialis (Mediterranean mussel). Lineage: Eukaryota; Metazoa; Mollusca; Bivalvia; Mytilida; Mytilidae. The record is from RNAcentral.